GUUUUGUGCCACUGAAAAACAGCGCAGGAGAGCUGUCCUUACAAGAGAGAUGCUGGAGAUAUUUCUGGUGCAUUGAUUUGGAAAUCAUCAAGUAGAAUCCUAAAUGCCAAGGCCUGAAAACCUGUCUCCACUGUUCUUUCCUUCCCUUUUAAGGCUGGCAGAACUGCAAGCUGGGAUAACACCAAGCUACCUGCAGUACCUUGAGAACCCUCAGACAAGCCUGCAGAAAACCCACAUGUGAGGGACUGAGGCCCUCAGUUCAACAGGCCAUGAAGAACGGAGACCUUCUAACUACGACUUGAGUGGGUUCAGAAGUGGAUUUUUCAGCCCAAGCAGAGUCUUG
This 343-nucleotide long non-coding RNA is filed under the name Equus caballus (horse). RNAcentral's name for it is "lncRNA (ENSECAG00000031138.3)". The record is from RNAcentral. Lineage: Eukaryota; Metazoa; Chordata; Mammalia; Perissodactyla; Equidae.